CUGAAAAAUUUAAGAGGACUCCAAAAACCUUGAUGGUCAUGACAAAUAUUCUAAUGUAAUGUUUUAAAAAUUCAAAAGUAAUGCAAAAAUCUAUCACGAACAAAAUACCAAAAUUUUAAACAGAAACAGAAUCUGACAUUGCACUUUGCAUGACCCUGCCUUGCCUGUGUCACCCCGGUCUCAGCUCUGUUAGAACAGGAAGUGUAGAGCCAAACCAUACAGGUCCAUUAAAGUCUGUGCUCAGGUAUGGUACCUGUCACACACAUGUCACAUGUCACUCACAUUCCUUUGGCCAAAGCAAGCUGCAUGGUGAGCUCCAAAGAGAAGAGGAUAAAGAAAUAUAUUCUACCAACAAGAAGGAUGAUAUGAACUGAUGAGUGGAGGAAACAAAUGAGGCAGUCUCCCACUGGCUGAAUAAGUGUCUGUUUGCCAUCCCUGUCUUGGAGCCAGCCAACUGUGGACUGAAACCUCUACGAAGUUUAAGCCCAAUAAACCCCUUCCCUUUUAACUUUGGAUGUCGGGUAUUUGGUCUCAGCAACAAGAGAAAAGUAACUAACAC
This 559-nucleotide long non-coding RNA is filed under the name Heterocephalus glaber (naked mole-rat). RNAcentral describes it as "lncRNA (ENSHGLG00000035314.1)". The record is from RNAcentral. Lineage: Eukaryota; Metazoa; Chordata; Mammalia; Rodentia; Bathyergidae.